RNAcentral lists this ribosomal RNA (228 nucleotides) under Triticum aestivum (bread wheat). Its description in RNAcentral is "partial small subunit ribosomal RNA". The record is from RNAcentral. Lineage: Eukaryota; Viridiplantae; Streptophyta; Magnoliopsida; Poales; Poaceae.
ACCCUCUUUCUAGUCCCACUCUUCUCCAAUAGAGCUCCCUCACUGAGCGAGCAUUCGGCAUUCCUAAUAUGCUCCACUCAUUCUACGCCAAGCACCCAAUCACGGGAUCAGAAUCACACUCUAGAUCAUACCUUUCACGAAAGAAAAGGACAGGCAGCCGCUACUAAACCAAGAUCUCCAUCUCUUGACUCCGUCAAUCAAUCUUACCUUAUAGGGCACAACUGGUAG